AUGCAAGGUGACUAUGAUGUCAUCGGCGUGUGGAAGGUCGCCGACCUCGCGCUCGAGUGCAUGGCGCAAACUCCCGCGAAGCGACCGACGAUGACCCGCGUGAUUGCGCAGUUGCUGGAGUGUCUUGAACUCGAGGAGAGCCGCGGCACCAUCUACACCAGCGUCAGUGGCGACACGAACGGCAUCGUCAACACCGCUAGCACCAGCGAUGAUCCCAGCUCAAGUUCUAUUAUGUACGCCACCACCGACCAGCCCGCCUCCGAUGUCGCCCAGAGCAGUGCAGCGCUCAGGAUGGGGCCUGACUAUAGCAGGGCGUCAACGGUGGCCGCCGGUCCUGCAGCACGAUGA
This 348-nucleotide ribosomal RNA is filed under the name Triticum aestivum (bread wheat). RNAcentral describes it as "partial small subunit ribosomal RNA". Lineage: Eukaryota; Viridiplantae; Streptophyta; Magnoliopsida; Poales; Poaceae. The record is from RNAcentral.